RNAcentral lists this long non-coding RNA (550 nucleotides) under Chinchilla lanigera (long-tailed chinchilla). RNAcentral's name for it is "lncRNA (ENSCLAG00000024687.1)". The record is from RNAcentral. Lineage: Eukaryota; Metazoa; Chordata; Mammalia; Rodentia; Chinchillidae.
GGAAAAUUGUAUCUCAGCAGGUUCUACCCGGAAUCUGGCCUCCUGUUCCUUUAAGACAAAGUGCUUUAGGAUUCCUGUGCAAGAAGGGAACGAAACACCUCUGUAAAGAAGAAAAGACCAAGGCUCUGCUGGGACCUAGGAUGGGUGUCUGAGCUCUGAUGCCUUCUUAUCUCCAAUCAGUCUGAGUGUCUUUUUUGUCUGUCUUCCUCUGUGCUCGAUCCUCCCUCAGCUCUUUGGACCCAAACAGAAGAGACUGAGACUGCAGUGGACACCCCUCAGGAAAAUCCACAGAUAAACAAGCAAGCACAAGGAUCAGAGGAUUGGGUUAUUAAUCAGAGAGGUUUCCCUUCACUCUUCCAUAAGGCAAUGCAUCCUUUGAAUCGGAUGUGCAGUUUUGGGCAGGGCUCCACUCUGGGUCAGGAACACUGUGAACUGCUUUGCAUACAUCAUUUCAUGUCACAGUCUUAUUUUAUAUCAGCUUUCUAAUAUAGAUGUUAUGGACCUAACUAGGUCUUCUCAGAAUUCGUAUAUUGAAACCCUUUCCUCCAAC